Non-coding RNA from Podarcis lilfordi (Lilford's wall lizard), 65 nucleotides. NCBI's taxonomy places the organism in Eukaryota, Metazoa, Chordata, Lepidosauria, Squamata, Lacertidae. The record is from the annotation of a GenBank genome assembly.
GGGCUCAGGGGCAAAGCAUUUGCUUUGCAUGCAGAACAUCCCAGGUUCAAUCCCUGCCAUCUACA